AAACGAGACGAAGCAGAGCAGGAUCCAGAGUACCACGAGACACGAGAAACCUUGUGGGAAUGAGCGGGGACCACCCCGUAAGGCUAAAUACUCCUUAGUGACCGAUAGCGCAUAGUACUGUGAAGGAAAGGUGAAAAGGACCCCGGGAGGGGAGUGAAAGAGAACCUGAAACCCUGUGUUUACAAACUGUGGAAGUACCAUACGAGUACAACCGCGUACUUUUUGUAGAACGGUCCGGCGAGUUACGUUUACUGGCGAGGUUAAGCACUUAAGGUGCGGAGCCGAAGGGAUACCAAGUCUUAACAGGGCGUAAAGUCAGUGUACGUAGACCCGAAACCGGGUGAUCUACCCAUGUCCAGGUUGAAGUUGCCGUAAAAGGCAAUGGAGGACCGAACGCACAUCCGUUGAAAAGGGUGGCGAUGAGGUGUGGGUAGGGGAGAAAUUCCAAUCGAACCCGGAGAUAGCUGGUUCUCCUCGAAAUAGCUUUAGGGCUAGCCUCGAUUUAGUCUUAUGGAGGUAGAGCACUGAAUUUCCUAGGGGGCGUCAAAGCUUACCAAAGAAUAUCAAACUCCGAAUGCCAUGUAGAUGAUGAUCGGGAGUCAGACUGCACGAGAUAAGUUGGGUGGUCAAAAGGGAAAGAGCCCAGACCUACAGCUAAGGUCCCAAAGUGCGUGUUAAGUGGAAAAGGAUGUGGGAUUUCGAAGACAACUAGGAUGUUGGCUCAGAAGCAGCCAUACAUUCAAAGAGUGCGUAAUAGCUCACUAGUCGAGAGGUCCUGCGCCGAAAAUGUCCGGGGCUGAAACACGACACCGAAGCUUAGGACUCCAUUUAGGAGUGGUAGAGGAGCAUUGUUAGCGCAGCGAAGCUGUACCGAUAAGGAGCAGUGGAGUGCUAAGAAGAGAGAAUGCCGGAAUGAGUAGCGAGAGGAAGGUGAGAAUCCUUCCGGCCGAAUAUCCAAGGUUUCCAGAGUAAAGCUGAUCUGCUCUGGGUAAGUCGGGGCCUAAGGCGAGGUCGAAAGACGUAGUCGAUGGAUAACAGGUGGAGAUUCCUGUACUAUGUGUACCCAGAAUUGUGGGGACGCAUGUGGAGAGCAUGAGCCGGGAAAGAGAAAACCGGUACAAGCGGGGUAGGAGUAAGGACAGCAAAUCUUCCUUACAAUCCGAAGACGUAAUGUGGACCGAACCAAAGUAGGGAAGCAUGUGAGCCAUGUGCCAAGAAAAGCCGCUAUUGUGAUACACAUACCCGUACCGUAAACCGACACAGGUGGAUGAGGAGAGAAUCCUAAGGCCGACGGAAGAAGCAUUGUUAAGGAACUCGGCAAAAUGACCCCGUAACUUCGGGAGAAGGGGUGCCCUGUGAAAGCAGGGCCGCAGAGAAUAGGCUCAAGCAACUGUUUAGCAAAAACACAGGUCUAUGCGAAACCGAAAGGUGAGGUAUAUGGGCUGACGCCUGCCCGGUGCUGGAAGGUUAAGAGGAGAGGUUAGCGCAAGCGAAGCUUUGAAUUUAAGCCCCAGUAAACGGCGGCCGUAACUAUAACGGUCCUAAGGUAGCGAAAUUCCUUGUCGGGUAAGUUCCGACCCGCACGAAAGGCGUAAUGAUUUGAGCACUGUCUCGACAAUGCAUCCGGUGAAAUUGAAGUACCAGUGAAGAUGCUGGUUACCUGCGCCAGGACGGAAAGACCCCAUGGAGCUUUACUCCAGCUUGAUACUGGGAUUCGAUACUGUAUGUACAGGAUAGGUGGGAGACGUUGAGCAUAGAACGCCAGUUUUAUGUGAGUCGCUGUUGGGAUACCACCCUUGCAGUAUUGGAUUUCUAACCUGCACCCAUGACCUGGGUGGGGGACAAUGUCUGGCGGGGAGUUUGACUGGGGCGGUCGCCUCCGAAAGGGUAUCGGAGGCGCUCAAAGGUUCCCUCAGAAUGGUUGGAAACCAUUCGAAGAGUGCAAAGGCAGAAGGGAGCUUGACUGCGACACCGACGGGUGGAGCAGGUACGAAAGUAGGACUUAGUGAUCCGGUGGUAUAAAGUGGGAUUGCCAUCGCUCAACGGAUAAAAGCUACCCUGGGGAUAACAGGCUUAUCACUCCCAAGAGUUCACAUCGACGGAGUGGUUUGGCACCUCGAUGUCGGCUCAUCGCAUCCUGGGGCUGUAGCAGGUCCCAAGGGUUGGGCUGUUCGCCCAUUAAAGCGGUACGCGAGCUGGGUUCAGAACGUCGUGAGACAGUUCGGUCCCUAUCCGGCGCGGGCGGAGGAUAUUUGAGAGGAGCUGUCCUUAGUACGAGAGGACCGGGAUGGACGGACCACUGGUGUAUCUGUUGUCGACCAACGGCAUGG
Molecule: ribosomal RNA, 2330 nt
Filed under: human gut metagenome
Description: bacterial LSU rRNA
Rfam family: Bacterial large subunit ribosomal RNA
Source: RNAcentral